AUGCAUGCGAUGCAACUAGAAAACUGUAUUUGUCCUCCAGAUAUUGCUCAUUGCCGACUUGCCGUCACAAUGCAAUGGAACAAGGCGCCUAACUACAAUAGGCUAUGUAAAUAUAGGUCGCCGAGUGAGGAUACACAGAUAUUCCUGCAAAUAAACCACUUCAUAUUGUUGAUCGAUCAUGCUAAUUGCACAUCUGAUCUUGCUAGUGGCGAAGAUCUACACACAAGAACAGUAUACUACUGUAUGCCAAGUUGCCAGCCCCCUAUAAAUAUCAGAAACUCCACCGCGUUGAAGUAUAUCCAACUUAGAUCAAGAUUAAGCACAAUUAAGCAAGGCACUUCAGAUUGGUACCUUGACUUGUGA
This 363-nucleotide ribosomal RNA is filed under the name Triticum aestivum (bread wheat). RNAcentral's name for it is "partial small subunit ribosomal RNA". Lineage: Eukaryota; Viridiplantae; Streptophyta; Magnoliopsida; Poales; Poaceae. The record is from RNAcentral.